UACGUAGGGACCAAGCGUUGUUCGGAUUUGCUGGGCGUAAAGGGCGCGUAGGCGGCGUGGUAAGUCACUUGUGAAAUCUCCGAGCUUAACUCGGAACUGCCAAGUGAUACUGCUGUGCUAGAGUGCAGAAGGGGCAACCGGAAUUCUUGGUGUAGCGGUGAAAUGCGUAGAUAUCAAGAGGAACACCUGAGGUGAAGACGGGUUGCUGGGCUGACACUGACGCUGAGGCGCGAAAGCGUGGGGAGCAAACAGG
This 253-nucleotide ribosomal RNA is filed under the name uncultured bacterium. RNAcentral describes it as "partial 16S ribosomal RNA". It matches the Rfam family "Bacterial small subunit ribosomal RNA", at positions 524 to 776 of the family's 1533-position model. The record is from RNAcentral.